CGGCCCGAGGAGGAGGCGCGUUCUAUACACUGGUCCCCAUACGACCGCGUCGGCGUGGUGAACGCCGAUCCUUAAGGACUUUUCCCGUCGUCUCUCUCCGCCCACACCUCGCUUUCAAUCCCCGCCCUCGACGCCUUUCAACUCCAUCUCACGCCUUUCAACUCCACCCCGACGUCGCUUUGUAUGGAACGUCCCGGAGUUCACGACGCAUAAGAUCACGCUCGGGGUGAGGGACGAGAAGGUCGAGCUCGUGACGGCGUCGAUCGCGGCGGCGACGCGGAAGGAGGGGCUGGACGUGAAGACAAUCGCGAGCGGCGUGGGCG
Molecule: long non-coding RNA, 323 nt
Filed under: Micromonas pusilla
Lineage: Eukaryota; Viridiplantae; Chlorophyta; Mamiellophyceae; Mamiellales; Mamiellaceae
Description: long non-coding RNA (MPUS_LNC000189)
Source: RNAcentral